CCCCUCCAUUACCCGACACACGCUUCACAGCCCCCGCACAUCUCGUAACAUCACUAGGUAGCAUCUCUGGCUGCUGUUGACCUUGUUUUUGGAGUAAAACACGGUGGAAGCUGAAUUAGUGAGGAUGACUCCUGCUCCUGUCAUCUCUAAGCUCCUCACACAUCUUUACCUGCACAUGAGGAAAAUCACUCCUGUAGAAUGCAGAUGUUCAGAGGGAGAUGAUGCCACAUCUGGUCCAGCUGAUGGAAGGUCUUGAAGUUCUCUGACUGCCUCGACUGAAGAUGGUCGUCUCACUGGAUUUAAGGUUCAGAUGCUCAGUAACAAACUCCACCAAU
Amphiprion ocellaris (clown anemonefish) is the source of this 335-nucleotide long non-coding RNA. RefSeq lists it as uncharacterized. The transcript has 3 exons. The record is from RefSeq and is a predicted model, not a curated record. NCBI's taxonomy places the organism in Eukaryota, Metazoa, Chordata, Actinopteri, Pomacentridae.